GAUUGGUGCGCGCACGCGAGGGGAGCACGAGGCGCUCGCCCGCCGGGCGGGGGCUGAGCCUGAGGGGAGCGCUGAGGGAAGCCUGGAAACUCCUGGUUGUGACAUGUCCUGUGGUGCAACACCGGCUUCAGAUGUAGCUGCAACCCACAGAACAAUGCACCAUGACGAUUUGGCCAGGUGGAUAUCUGCCUGAGCUUCUCUUGAAACUUCAUCAUGUUCCUGGCAAACCCACCACCUUGGAAGAGCAAAGGACCUCCAGCAGCAGCAUAUGGGACCUCUCUGUCGCGAAUUCCAGUAGGACAUCAGGAAUCUCAGCUAUACAGCUCAUCAAAACAUGCCGUGCCUCACAGCCAGACAUCUGAUGGUGCAUGGAGUGAUUCAUUGCUGCAUCUGGGCAGGAGGAUGAGAGUGACCACAGCACUCAUUCCUCUGCAUAUCACUGUGGGAUCUGUGCCCCAGCGCCUGGGAAAGCUGUGCUGCCACUUGGAGAAAUGCCAGCAGCAGAUUCAGCAGCAGCUUGGAGAACCAAAGCUGCAUGGUACCCAAUAGAAUCACAGCUACAUUAGGCAAAUGCUGAAACAACUAAUUUAGGAACUAACUUCAGGAAGUGCUGCUCUGGACCCCAUGUGCACCUUUUCUGCUGAGAAAAACAAAAGAUCUCCUGAGCUGCUUUGCAUUUCUCAGCACCACACGAGAGCCAUGAAAGUAUUGUAAGCAAGGUGUGAUUGAUUGUUGUGUCAUUUCCUCUCCCCCCUUCUCUAGUGCUGGGUUCAAGCGGGCAAUUUUGCACCAGUGACACAACCAUUACUUUAUGUAGAGGAUUUUCUCCCAGCUUCUCAACAAUAGCAUAUAAGAGUAGUGUGCCUUCUGGGCAUGCAAAGUAUCAAAAUGCUCUAUCUCAGCAAUUGGCUCUGCUAUGAGAAAUAAUUCUAGAUCAUCAACCAUUUAAAGCAAAAAUUUUUGUAAUUCCAGGUUUGCACUAGAACAGGAAAAAGGCCUACUUAAUUUUGACUCCAAGUACAAUAUCUGUAAGAUUCCUGUCACUCGGAGGUUUUAGGACUAUUUACAGAGCAUUCAAAGGAGAAUAAGCUCUUCCAAACAACAGUCCUAAAUUUGUUUUCUUAUUCCUACACAUAGAUUUUGCCACACAUUGUUUUGCAAGGCUCUUUGAAACCUGCAUUUAUGCUAAAUGAAGAGCUAGUGGAUAAGAUUUUUUUUUUCCUUGUGGAAUAAUGAAAAAGCCUAUUUAAACCUUUGUAAGAGGUUUGCUUCUUUCACUUGUGCAUGCCAAGACUAUGGCUGCCAAGGCUAUUGCUAAGAAGGGUUUGAUUCAGGGAUGGAUAAGUUGCUUAGCUCACUGACAGGGUGUGCAGGAUGUCAGGAAGGUACUCCCCAUGCAGAAUGUUUGGACUGUGCAGCUAUCUUCUUGUCUUGUGACUAGAAAAUUGUACAAGAGGACAAUUCCCCUCCUCCUGGAGGUUCACUGUUGAGAACAUGACAACAAAACCACAGCCACAUAGUGUGUCAACACAAGAGCAGAACCAGGCCACCUCUUCCCUGUUAUCAACCUGUUUGGCUUGGGACAUCCUAUAUUUGUCUUUAGAAGGACACCAGUGUCCCCUUACCUGCCUGGCCAUUGCUGUUCCCUGGCACAGCCCCAGCAGUCCUGUUAUCCCAAGGAGGUGAGAGGCAGAGGUCCAGCAGUGAUGGCACCAGGUUGGGUCAGGCCAUUCUGGCACUUGUGCAUGACCAGUCUGUCAGUGCAGCCUGAGGGACGCUGCCAAUCCUGCCUCUU
Molecule: long non-coding RNA, 1795 nt
Organism: Melospiza melodia melodia
Lineage: Eukaryota; Metazoa; Chordata; Aves; Passeriformes; Passerellidae
Exons: 3
Source: RefSeq, a predicted model, not a curated record